This 253-nucleotide ribosomal RNA is filed under the name uncultured bacterium. RNAcentral's name for it is "partial 16S ribosomal RNA". It matches the Rfam family "Bacterial small subunit ribosomal RNA", at positions 524 to 776 of the family's 1533-position model. The record is from RNAcentral.
UACAGAGGGGGCAAGCGUUGUUCGGAAUUACUGGGCGUAAAGGGCGCGUAGGCGGCCUGUUAAGUCGAACGUGAAAUCCCCGGGCUCAACCCGGGAACUGCGUCCGAUACUGGCAGGCUUGAAUCCGGGAGAGGGAUGCGGAAUUCCAGGUGUAGCGGUGAAAUGCGUAGAUAUCUGGAGGAACACCGGUGGCGAAGGCGGCACCCUGGACCGGUAUUGACGCUGAGGCGCGAAAGCCAGGGGAGCAAACAGG